AUUGAACGCUGGCGGCAGGCCUAACACAUGCAAGUCGAGCGGAUGAAGGGAGCUUGCUCCUGGAUUCAGCGGCGGACGGGUGAGUAAUGCCUAGGAAUCUGCCUGGUAGUGGGGGAUAACGUCCGGAAACGGGCGCUAAUACCGCAUACGUCCUGAGGGAGAAAGUGGGGGAUCUUCGGACCUCACGCUCUCAGAUGAGCCUAGGUCGGAUUAGCUAGUUGGUGGGGUAAAGGCCUACCAAGGCGACGAUCCGUAACUGGUCUGAGAGGAUGAUCAGUCACACUGGAACUGAGACGCGGUCCAGACUCCUACGGGAGGCAGCAGUGGGGAAUAUUGGACAAUGGGCGAAAGCCUGAUCCAGCCAUGCCGCGUGUGUGAAGAAGGUCUUCGGAUUGUAAAGCACUUUAAGUUGGGAGGAAAAGCAGUAAGUUAAUACCUUGCUGUUUUGACGGUACCAAAAGAAUAAGCACCGGCUAACUUCGUG
This 484-nucleotide ribosomal RNA is filed under the name uncultured bacterium. RNAcentral describes it as "partial 16S ribosomal RNA". It matches the Rfam family "Bacterial small subunit ribosomal RNA", at positions 30 to 507 of the family's 1533-position model. The record is from RNAcentral.